UACGUAGGUGGCGAGCGUUGUCCGGAUUUACUGGGCGUAAAGGGAGCGUAGGCGGACUUUUAAGUGAGAUGUGAAAUACUCGGGCCCAACUUGAGUGCUGCAUUUCAAACUGGAAGUCUAGAGUGCAGGAGAGGAGAAUGGAAUUCCUAGUGUAGCGGUGAGAUGCGUAGAGAUUAGGAAGAACACCAGUGGCGAAGGCGAUUCUCUGGACUGUAACUGACGCUGAGGCUCGAAAGCGUGGGGAGCAAACAGG
This 253-nucleotide ribosomal RNA is filed under the name uncultured bacterium. RNAcentral describes it as "partial 16S ribosomal RNA". It matches the Rfam family "Bacterial small subunit ribosomal RNA", at positions 524 to 776 of the family's 1533-position model. The record is from RNAcentral.